AAGCCUUGUUCCUAGGCACAACUCAGAAGAUUUCACACCUUGCAACUGUUGCUGAAGAUUGAAUUUCAUAGAUUUUACAUCUUGAAGCUUUGUCCCUGUGCAUAAUUCUGAAGAUUUUCUAUGUUGCAGAUGUGGCUCAGGAUUGAACACCAUAAAUUUUACACUUUGAAGGUCUGGCCAUGGAUUCAAUUUAUGAGAUUUCUCAUCUUGCUGCUGCUUUUCAGCAUUGAACUCAGAAGGUGCCACACUAUGAAUCUUUGAUUCCAAGGCCAACUUAGAGAGUUUUGCAACCUGCAAUUCUGGGUCAUGGUUGCCUUCUGUAGAGUUCACCGUCUGAAGCUUUAUCAACCCAGAUUUCAUAUCUUCCAACUUUGCCCCAGGAUUAUAUUCUACAGAUUUCACACCCUGAAGGUGUAUCCCUGGUGUCAACAUAGAUAAUUUUCUAUCUUGUAACUGUGAAGUUGAGCUUAACUCCAAAGAUGUCCUAUCCUGUACCUUUGUACCUACAGUCAAUUCAGAAGAUUUCACAUCUUGCAGCUGUGUUCCUGGGCAUGCCUCCAAGGGUUUCAC
This 570-nucleotide long non-coding RNA is filed under the name Homo sapiens (human). RNAcentral describes it as "HSALNT0029217". Lineage: Eukaryota; Metazoa; Chordata; Mammalia; Primates; Hominidae. The record is from RNAcentral.